GGUCAGACUGCAGGAGGCACAGCCCGAGCUCUCCCCGAGAGGCUCCUAGAGCACCAGAGGAACCAGCCCCUGGGAGCCAGUGCUCCCAGGGUGGGGAGGGAGGGAGUGCAGGCUGUGCCGCUGCUAGGACACGCAGUAAACACAGCCCGGCAGCAGCCGGGGCUGGAGCCGUGAUGAAUCAGGCUUUGAUCCACUUGAUCUCCUCACAAUUACCCCCCUGUACCAGCUUCUCGUGGGAGAACUGCCCGGCUGCAGGAGGGCAGGUCCUGUGAGCUGCAGUGACCUGUCCUCAGUAAGAGGGCUGGUGCUGGGCAAAGCCCAGAGCCCCUUUGGGGGGGUUCAGGUGGGCACCGUGUGUGCCUGUUGCCCUGUUUUGCAGCAGUGUUGGUGCCGUGCCAUUGAGCAGCAGUGUGUGGAAUGGUGUUCCUGCUCUACUGAGACUGGUCCCUUCCAUGCCCAGCCGGCCCCAGUGAGCUCUUGGCCUUUGCUGUUGCUUCUGGACUCUGCCACGACAGUCCACAGACCUCCUCUGUUUCAAAGGGUUUCACACCUCGGAGCUGCCCAGAGCUGCCUCUCUACGACUCCUCUCAAACCCACGCUACAGGCAAGAGCUGCACUGGUUAAAUCCAAAGCAAGGCAAGAGCUGUGCCCACUCCUGCAUGGAGUGGAGGCACAUGAUUUCCUGGAGAACCCAAGGCUACCCUAACUAAUUGAGCUCCCUUGCCAUGUUCUCUCAAAGCACUUAAUGCCACUAUGGCCCUUUUGUGCUGUGCAAAUGCCAGCCCAGGAGCCGUGGAGUUCUGAUGAACCUCCUCACCCACACCAUCUGGGGGUGCAGGCUGUGCUGAGCUGUGCUUCUUCCCUCCCUCAGGAGCAGGUGGGCUGUUCCUUCACAAAACCAGGCUUCCCAGGGUGAUUGGAUUCCGAGGGUGACUCCUUGGCUGUGGGGAUUUAACCCGUGGGUGUGUGUAGCUGUUGCUGCCGUGCAGGGGUGAGCUCCCCACCCUGGAGGGGAUGAUGUCCUGGUGUGUCGCUGGUGGAGGGUUUUGUGGUGCCCAGCGAGGUGGGUUGUACCUGUCUGCCCUCUUAGGGAAGCCUUUCCCUCCAGGGGAGUGACUGCAUGCCAGGCUGGGGUUUGGUGGCCAUGGCUUUGCUGGCAAAGGGCACUGCAGGCAGUGAGAGUGUCCCUGAACAGAGGGACCUGCAGUCCCACAGUGGGAGCUGCACUGCAGGACAGGGGGGCCUGGCUCUCACCCAGGUGGUGCCCAAGAACCAGAACCUUCUCGGGAGGGAUGAGACUCCAGAAGGGCACAUUGCCCUUGUCAUGCAGACUGCAAGACACGCUGCCUUGCUUGUCUGCUUCCUGGGCUGGGAGAGGGCCGAGGCAAGCCAGAGAAACAUGGGAAUGAGAGCUCAGGAAGGUACCCAGGCACCAUAUCUACCAGCCUCAGUGGGGUGUUGAGAGAUGCAGGUAAAACCCUGCCCUGCCUGGAUGCUGCCAGGGCUGGGGAGCUGCAGCUCUUUGAGUUUGGGCUGCCCCUUCACCGGUGAAUCGCUCCUGGCAGUGCCAGGCUGGGAGUGCGGGGGGACAAGGGGUGUGCGGGGAGCCAGGGGCUGGGGGCAGAGCUGUCAGUGACUCACCAUGUUCAUCCAGCUCCAGCGUGGUCCUUCUGCCUGCAGAAAUCCGGCCAACGCCAGAGAAUUACAGAAUAUCCUCCAGCGCGGGGCACGGGCAGGCUCCGGGUGCCCCGAUACCCAGAAUCCGGGGCCGGCGAUGCUCCCGCACCCCUGUGCCUGCUCUCUGUGCCCGCCCUGCGCUCACACUGGGGCAGGACCGCCCCAGCACUCCUUAAAACCCACAAGGGGAGUUGUGAAACAGGAAUUCUAGUUUGUAUUGUAAUACAACACCGGUCUAUCAGCAGCACCAUCACCUGCUGUAAUCUCCUGAGCAUCUGCCACCGGGGGGGUGACUCACCUGCAGGGCUGCUGUCACCAAAUAGCUUAUCAGAAGUGAACUGACUGAUUUUUCCUGCUCCUCCUGAUGAUAAGGGCAUCCACGGCCACCCCGCUCUUUGUCCGGCUCUUCCGCGUUGCGCGGGGUUGUUUUUACGCCGAGGUUUAGGUAGGUGGAGGAGGAAAGGAGGAGAGUUGAUGCACGAGGUUACCCGGCUCUCGGGUCACUCGGUCUGUGUGUCCCCGUGCAGCCCCAGGUCACGGCUGGCAGCUGCUCCUGGCAGUGCUGGGGGGGAGUUAAAGGUGAAGGAAGUGGGUGCCCGUGGAAGGUUGUCCUGAGGCUGCAACGGGGAGACAACAGGGCAUGCUCAGGGGUGGCCGUGCCCUUCUCUCGCAGCCCCCAUCUCCUUGCAGAGCAGCUGGCCUGCCUGGGCGUUGGUGUUGCAUGAGCUGGGGCUGGCAGGGGUGUGUGGGAGAGGGGCUCUCACAGCCCUCAGCCCUGUUUUAGGCAGUGCUCUGCCUGCAGGCAGGUGCCGGGGGUGCUGCUGGAGCCGUGCAUGUGUCUGAUGUAAAGCUGGGCUACACAUCCAGGAAUAAUCAAUCCCUCUGGGUUGGAGAGGCUUGGUUUAGCCUGGCAGGAUGGGAUGGAGGUUUAGGUGUGCAGGAGCUGCUCGCCCCAGCUGGCUGAAGGGGGCCCAGGGGCUGGGCUGGGGUCGGGGAGGCUGCAGGCUGCCUGCCCUCCUCCGCACUCCCGCUGGAAGUGAUGGGUGUGCAGGGUUUGCUGAGCAGCUAAUUACCCUCUCCUUUGGUAAUCCAGCUUUCCACAGGGUCAGGAGAGCUGCUGCUGCCAGGUGUGUGUGCUGUGCCAGUGGGAGGCUGCAGAGAGCCCUGGACCUGCAGCUCCUCAGACAGAGAGCUGUACCAUUGCUGUGCCAGCUCGUCCCUGUCACAGCAGGGACCCUGCCUGCUCCAGUAGCCUGACCAGGGAUCCUGGAAUCCACGUGUGGCUCUGCAGCCACAGGAGGUGGUUUUUCCCUCUUUCCACGAGCAGGAGUUGAUUUCCCACCUGACCCUGUGGUUCGGGACUUUGAGGAGAUGAUCUCAUAGAGCUGAACCAGUUGGACCAGUGGGCGAGGACUGGCGCCUGGCCUCGCUGCACUGGGGGUGGUGAGGCAGCUGUGUCACCGGGAGAGGAGGGCACGGGCAGGACGUGCCAGGCUCCAGCACUCACAGGGCUCUGCUGCAGCAGCUCCAGCCCGGGACAGCCGUGAGCAGCUCCUGCACUCAACACCGAGAUGGACCCCCAGAGAGGGCCUGACUUCGUCUUCAACCUCUACCACAUGCACGGGCUGGGGUCAGUGGCAGUGGAGCUGGUGCCCCCAUUCAGC
Pseudopipra pipra is the source of this 3341-nucleotide long non-coding RNA. RefSeq lists it as uncharacterized. The transcript has 6 exons. NCBI's taxonomy places the organism in Eukaryota, Metazoa, Chordata, Aves, Passeriformes, Pipridae. The record is from RefSeq and is a predicted model, not a curated record.